UCCCUCACCCCGACGAAUUGCUGUGCCGCACCACCCUCCCGCGACACGCGACGCCGUGCUCAUCCUCCCGGCGCGCUCGACGCCGCACCCUCCUCCCGGCACCUCACCCUCCUCGCUCCCUCCUACCGGCGCCCCUCCCUCCUCCCGACGGAGCUUCGUCCUCCCACGCAGCUCGACGCUGCUCGUGCUCCUCGCGACCUCCUCCAGCGCCGGUGGCAAAUCCAGGAUUUUAGCGGGGGAGGAGGACCCUGAUGGAAGCAAACUUUAUGCAUCUGCAGGCUAUGGAUAGAUGAUUUAGUAAAUUUUUAGUUACUCAGAAUUCAGAAAGUUAGAUAUUGCAGUAAUUUUUUGAAGAAAUAAACCAUAUCGAUAGAUUGAAUCAUUUGAAAAAAAAUUUAGUCUGAAUACUAAGGAUGUCACUGAAGUAAAUUAAGAAAGCAAUUGAACUAUCCUUAUGAUAAGGAGGUACAUGUGGAGACAUGCUGAUUUGGUACUAAGCACUUUGAUCGCAUAUGUAUUCUGUGCUUUCUCUAAUAGGGAGAUGCAGAGGGACACUCCUUUAAUUUUGUCAAUCUUAUAUUUUAGCAGCACAAGGCUUCAAGUUUUUUAUACCAAUUUUAAAGACUGACACCAUUCUCCACUUCACAAAUUGUUCAAGUUCUAGAGUUCAUUGGGAUGAAAGAAAACAUGUUUUCAUUGUGCUUUUGGUACUGAACUACUGAUAAUCUGAUGUAAUGACACUUUUUCUGUAUCACAAUUUAUUCGUGUGCCUUAUGAAUUUUGUUCGAUUUUUACUCUGAACAUUCCGUGCUAUUUUCUCUGCGCCAGAAAUUCAAUGAAUUACUCGCCAAUUGUAUCCUACCAGAAAGUAUUUUGAAGGUGACUCAAUGCUUCUAAUCACCACAUAUGUAUUUCUGCUUUAUGGCAACAGAACAUAACUACAGAUUAAUACCUCUACUAAAUUUGGACUCUUCAUGCCUUAUCAACGCACCGACCUUAUGGCUUUAAUUCUUGUUUGCAUUACCGAUGAAGAAUAUAUCAGACUUGAUAAAUAAAGGUGCUUGCAAUCUUUCAACUGAAGCCAAAAUCUUUCAAAUUAGUAAUCAGGGAGUAGGCUAGAUUUUUAUUUUAUAUAUAUAACCUUAAGUGUAGCUACAUCUGUAUGCAAAUGGAAGUUCACUGCAUGAAGGAGUUGACUUGAUCAUAUGUGGUUCUUAGCAUGACACAGUUCGGUUAUUCAUAUAUAGCUCUUCAGUCAGUUUACAUCAUUCUUGGAUUUGAUUCAGUUUACCUUGAAGAGGGUAAGCAUCAAUAGUUUGUUUGUCUUAAUGCGUCCUUGUCUGUUGACAGUUCAACUAGUUUAUGAUGAUUUGGCAGUGCAGCAUCUUCAGGUGUGUCCAGCUGAAAGGGGUCAGGUAUUUGAAGGGUAAUAGCUAGACCUCUUUCCCAGUAACGCGUACUAAUUUUUAUUUGAAUACCACUGUUCUUUGAAUGCUGAUGCUGCCCUGUCCUCUGUCUGCCACAUAACCUUAGGUGAAUAUCCGGAUGCCAUGUCGAAGCUUACAGAGACGGACCUCAAGUUUCUUUUUCCACAUCUAACUGCUGACAGAUAUGUACAGACAUGAGCAGAGAUGGGAGUUCUUCUAUUAGGACAUGAUAGGAGUAUGCUUUGCUUCUUUGCGGCAUACUAUGUGGUGUGUCAGUGAUAUACAUGAUGGACUUCUUGUUUCACGAAUUGUGAGGCCUGCCGUCGGCGGCUGAGCUCGCCAGUAGCUGUUGUCAACCUAUACUAAGAUUUCAAAUUAAAAAAUCAUGGUGUUGAUGCAAUAAUGAUAGCUCCUGCAUCCAAAUUGCAUCACUAACCUGAUCAAGCAAAUCUCUUGACCCAUUAAUGACUGCCGCCAGGGACAGCCUCGUGAGAUACAGGGACGGCCUCUCCAGCGGAUGCUCUGCGAGCGGCGAGCCUAUUUCCCAUUCUAAUAUUCCUCUUGUGUGCAGAUCAAAGAUUCUUGUAGAGAUGGAUUGGCUGGGAUUAUCAUUCACUGAAGGCAAAUCUCUCAAUUAUUGGUUGGGAUUUAUUUUCCAAUAUCUGCUGUUUUACUCCCUUAUGUGGUCGCAUGGUUUCACUGCUGGGUUGACUGGAUCGACCCUGGUGCCGAUGCCAAUUACCAAUUAAUGAGUUGUGGCAAUGUGCAUACUUGCAACAACGUGCCAUGAGGCCCCCAAUCUUUGCUGGCUUUAACCUGAAAUGGUCUUGGCAGGGACAGGGAGGUCUAUUUGUAUCUCUCUUUUAUUCUAACUAGUACUGAGGCUAGCGUCAAACUAUUGUAUUCAAAUUGGAAAUAUACUUACGAAUGAGAUGAACCAUUUGCGACUAAGUUAUUGUAUUUGCAUUUCCAAUUUCUA
Molecule: long non-coding RNA, 2406 nt
Organism: Panicum virgatum (switchgrass)
Lineage: Eukaryota; Viridiplantae; Streptophyta; Magnoliopsida; Poales; Poaceae
Exons: 2
Source: RefSeq, a predicted model, not a curated record